AGCGUACACGGUGGAUGCCCUGGCAGUCAGAGGCGAUGAAGGACGUGCUAAUCUGCGAUAAGCGUCGGUAAGGUGAUAUGAACCGUUAUAACCGGCGAUUUCCGAAUGGGGAAACCCAGUGUGAUUCGUCACACUAUCAUUAACUGAAUCCAUAGGUUAAUGAGGCGAACCGGGGGAACUGAAACAUCUAAGUACCCCGAGGAAAAGAAAUCAACCGAGAUUCCCCCAGUAGCGGCGAGCGAACGGGGAGCAGCCCAGAGCCUGAAUCAGUGUGUGUGUUAGUGGAAGCGUCUGGAAAGGCGCGCGAUACAGGGUGACAGCCCCGUACACAAAAAUGCACAUGCUGUGAGCUCGAUGAGUAGGGCGGGACACGUGGUAUCCUGUCUGAAUAUGGGGGGACCAUCCUCCAAGGCUAAAUACUCCUGACUGACCGAUAGUGAACCAGUACCGUGAGGGAAAGGCGAAAAGAACCCCGGCGAGGGGAGUGAAAAAGAACCUGAAACCGUGUACGUACAAGCAGUGGGAGCACGCUUCGGCGUGUGACUGCGUACCUUUUGUAUAAUGGGUCAGCGACUUAUAUUCUGUAGCAAGGUUAACCGAAUAGGGGAGCCGAAGGGAAACCGAGUCUUAACUGGGCGUUAAGUUGCAGGGUAUAGACCCGAAACCCGGUGAUCUAGCCAUGGGCAGGUUGAAGGUUGGGUAACACUAACUGGAGGACCGAACCGACUAAUGUUGAAAAAUUAGCGGAUGACUUGUGGCUGGGGGUGAAAGGCCAAUCAAACCGGGAGAUAGCUGGUUCUCCCCGAAAGCUAUUUAGGUAGCGCCUCGUGAAUUCAUCUCCGGGGGUAGAGCACUGUUUCGGCAAGGGGGUCAUCCCGACUUACCAACCCGAUGCAAACUGCGAAUACCGGAGAAUGUUAUCACGGGAGACACACGGCGGGUGCUAACGUCCGUCGUGAAGAGGGAAACAACCCAGACCGCCAGCUAAGGUCCCAAAGUCAUGGUUAAGUGGGAAACGAUGUGGGAAGGCCCAGACAGCCAGGAUGUUGGCUUAGAAGCAGCCAUCAUUUAAAGAAAGCGUAAUAGCUCACUGGUCGAGUCGGCCUGCGCGGAAGAUGUAACGGGGCUAAACCAUGCACCGAAGCUGCGGCAGCGACACUAUGUGUUGUUGGGUAGGGGAGCGUUCUGUAAGCCUGUGAAGGUGUGCUGUGAGGCAUGCUGGAGGUAUCAGAAGUGCGAAUGCUGACAUAAGUAACGAUAAAGCGGGUGAAAAGCCCGCUCGCCGGAAGACCAAGGGUUCCUGUCCAACGUUAAUCGGGGCAGGGUGAGUCGACCCCUAAGGCGAGGCCGAAAGGCGUAGUCGAUGGGAAACAGGUUAAUAUUCCUGUACUUGGUGUUACUGCGAAGGGGGGACGGAGAAGGCUAUGUUGGCCGGGCGACGGUUGUCCCGGUUUAAGCGUGUAGGCUGGUUUUCCAGGCAAAUCCGGAAAAUCAAGGCUGAGGCGUGAUGACGAGGCACUACGGUGCUGAAGCAACAAAUGCCCUGCUUCCAGGAAAAGCCUCUAAGCAUCAGGUAACAUCAAAUCGUACCCCAAACCGACACAGGUGGUCAGGUAGAGAAUACCAAGGCGCUUGAGAGAACUCGGGUGAAGGAACUAGGCAAAAUGGUGCCGUAACUUCGGGAGAAGGCACGCUGAUAUGUAGGUGAAGUCCCUCGCGGAUGGAGCUGAAAUCAGUCGAAGAUACCAGCUGGCUGCAACUGUUUAUUAAAAACACAGCACUGUGCAAACACGAAAGUGGACGUAUACGGUGUGACGCCUGCCCGGUGCCGGAAGGUUAAUUGAUGGGGUUAGCGGUAACGCGAAGCUCUUGAUCGAAGCCCCGGUAAACGGCGGCCGUAACUAUAACGGUCCUAAGGUAGCGAAAUUCCUUGUCGGGUAAGUUCCGACCUGCACGAAUGGCGUAAUGAUGGCCAGGCUGUCUCCACCCGAGACUCAGUGAAAUUGAACUCGCUGUGAAGAUGCAGUGUACCCGCGGCAAGACGGAAAGACCCCGUGAACCUUUACUAUAGCUUGACACUGAACAUUGAGCCUUGAUGUGUAGGAUAGGUGGGAGGCUUUGAAGUGUGGACGCCAGUCUGCAUGGAGCCGACCUUGAAAUACCACCCUUUAAUGUUUGAUGUUCUAACGUUGACCCGUAAUCCGGGUUGCGGACAGUGUCUGGUGGGUAGUUUGACUGGGGCGGUCUCCUCCUAAAGAGUAACGGAGGAGCACGAAGGUUGGCUAAUCCUGGUCGGACAUCAGGAGGUUAGUGCAAUGGCAUAAGCCAGCUUGACUGCGAGCGUGACGGCGCGAGCAGGUGCGAAAGCAGGUCAUAGUGAUCCGGUGGUUCUGAAUGGAAGGGCCA
This 2406-nucleotide ribosomal RNA is filed under the name human gut metagenome. Its description in RNAcentral is "bacterial LSU rRNA". It matches the Rfam family "Bacterial large subunit ribosomal RNA", at positions 14 to 2444 of the family's 2925-position model. The record is from RNAcentral.